RNAcentral lists this ribosomal RNA (379 nucleotides) under uncultured organism. RNAcentral describes it as "partial 16S ribosomal RNA". It matches the Rfam family "Bacterial small subunit ribosomal RNA", at positions 527 to 896 of the family's 1533-position model. The record is from RNAcentral.
GUAGGUGGCAAGCGUUGUCCGGAAGUUAUUGGGCGGUAAGACGCGCGCAGGCGGUUCUUUAAGUCUGAUGUGAAGACCCACGGCGUCAACCGUGGAGGGUCGAUUGGAAACUAGGAGGAACUUGAGGUACAGAAGAGGAAAGCGGAAUUCCACGUGUAGCGGUGAAAUGCGUAGAGAUGUGGAGGAACACCAGUGGCGAAGGCGGCUUUCUGGUCUGUAACUGACGCUGAGGCGCGAAAGCGUGGGGAGCAAACAGGAUUAGAUACCCUGGUAGUCCACGCCGUAAACGAUGAGUGCUAAGUGUUAGGGGGUUUCCGCCCCUUAGUGCUGCAGCUAACGCAUUAAGCACUCCGCCUGGGGAGUACGGCCGCAAAGGCUG